Molecule: ribosomal RNA, 577 nt
Filed under: uncultured fungus
Lineage: Eukaryota; Fungi
Description: eukaryotic LSU rRNA
Rfam family: 5.8S ribosomal RNA (bases 226-376)
Source: RNAcentral
CUUGGUCAUUUAGAGGAGUAAAAGUCGUAACAAGGUUUCCGUAGGUGAACCUGCGGAAGGAUCAUAAAGAAUGCCCCGUUUUUUGAAAUGGGUUCUAUUCCCAAACCGUGUAUAAUACCUUUGUUGCUUUGGCAGGCCGCCUUCGGGCGUUGGCUCACGCUGACGCGCCUGCCAGAGGACCCAAACUCGUUUGUUUAGUGAUGUCUGAGUACAUAUAAUAGUUAAAACUUUCAACAACGGAUCUCUUGGUUCUGGCAUCGAGAAGAACGCAGCGAAAUGCGAUAAGUAAUGUGAAUUGCAGAAUUCAGUGAUCAUCGAAUCUUUGAACGCACAUUGCGCCCCUUGGUAUUCCGAGGGGCUGCCUGUUCGAGCGUCAUUAUGACCACUCAAGCCUAGCUUGGUAUUGGGUUCGCGGUCUCGCGGCCCUUAAAAUCAGUGGCGGUGCCAUCUGGCUCUAGCGUAUUAAUUUAUCUCGCUAUUGGGUCCGGUGGUUGCUUGCCAACAACCCCAACUUCUAAGGUUGACCUCGGAUCAGGUAGGGAUACCCGCUGAACUAAGCAUAUCAAUAAGCGGAGGA